UUGCAGGACCCUGGCAGGUGAUGCUUAAGCAAACGGAUAAUUCGUAUGCUUGUGUUGCUGAAAGUGAAACCCGCUUCACCCUUAAUGAAACGAAAGAAGAACUGCUAAGGGUUCUUGGACUGAAGGAGGAACAAGGAAGCCAACUUGAGUUCCUUCGCAGGGGCUAUAAGACUGCAACAUGGUGGGAGGAAGACGUUGAUUUGGAGUUAUCAUCAACAUGGCGUAACUAAGUUGAACCCGAUAAAAAAAAACGGGGCCUAGUUAUGAUCAUUUCAUAUUGUUUUUACUUGUAUAUCAAUCAGUGCACAUAUUUCCUCUUGAUUUUUUUUUUCAAGUUUUA
Long non-coding RNA from Helianthus annuus (common sunflower), 340 nucleotides. RefSeq lists it as uncharacterized. Lineage: Eukaryota; Viridiplantae; Streptophyta; Magnoliopsida; Asterales; Asteraceae. The record is from RefSeq and is a predicted model, not a curated record. The transcript is spliced from 3 exons.